ACCUAAAGGCGCAAUGAAAGUGAAGGUCGACCUUGCGUCGACCGAGGGAGGAUGGCUAGCGUUACGAUGCGAGCCCGCACUCCCGGGGCGUCUCGUGCUCAUUGCGAGCAGAGGCGCACCCAGAGCGUACACGUUGGGACCCGAAAGAUGGUGAACUAUGCCUGGUCAGGACGAAGUCAGGGGAAACCCUGAUGGAGGUCCGUAGCGAUUCUGACGUGCAAAUCGAUCGUCGGAACUGGGUAUAGGGGCGAAAGACUAAUCGAACCAUCUAGUAGCUGGUUCCCUCCGAAGUUUCCCUCAGGAUAGCUGGCACUCGCUUGAGCGAGUCUCAUCUGGUAAAGCGAAUGAUUAGAGGCCUUGGGGCCGAAACGACCUCAACCUAUUCUCAAACUUUAAAUGGGUGAGAUCUCUGGCUUGCUUGAACGUUGAA
RNAcentral lists this ribosomal RNA (430 nucleotides) under Torymus sp. 'Nannocerus' 308-4. RNAcentral's name for it is "LSU rRNA". It matches the Rfam family "Eukaryotic large subunit ribosomal RNA", at positions 706 to 1099 of the family's 3401-position model. The record is from RNAcentral. Lineage: Eukaryota; Metazoa; Arthropoda; Insecta; Hymenoptera; Torymidae.